CCCUUAGAUGGUCUGGGCGGCACGCGCGCUACAAUGAUGCAUUCAAAAAGUCUUCUGACCUUAGAAGGUUGGGUAUUCUCCAAAGUGCAUCGUGAUGGGAAUAGUUUAUUGCAAUUUUUAAUCUUGAACGAGGAAUUCCUAGUAAGUACAGGUCAUCAACUUGUGUUGAUUACGUCCCUGCCCUUUGUACACACCGCCCGUCGCUCCUACUGAUUGAGUGUCUCGGUGAAUUCUUUGAUCUUCUGUCGAUUCAGCUCACUGAUCCGACGGUGGAAAGUUGAAUGAACUUCGUCACUUAGAGGAAGGAGAAGUCGUAACA
Molecule: ribosomal RNA, 319 nt
Filed under: uncultured eukaryote
Lineage: Eukaryota
Description: partial 18S ribosomal RNA
Rfam family: Eukaryotic small subunit ribosomal RNA
Source: RNAcentral